CAGCAGCCGCGGUAACACGUAGGUGGCAAGCGUUGUCCGGAAUUAUUGGGCGUAAAGCGCGCGCAGGCGGAUCAGUCAGUCUGUCUUAAAAGUUCGGGGCUUAACCCCGUGAGGGGAUGGAAACUGCUGAUCUAGAGUAUCGGAGAGGAAAGUGGAAUUCCUAGUGUAGCGGUGAAAUGCGUAGAUAUUAGGAAGAACACCAGUGGCGAAGGCGACUUUCUGGACGGAAACUGACGCUGAGGCGCGAAAGCCAGGGGAGCGAACGGGAUUAGAUACCCGGGUAGUCCCUGUCUCUUAUACC
This 301-nucleotide ribosomal RNA is filed under the name uncultured bacterium. RNAcentral describes it as "partial 16S ribosomal RNA". It matches the Rfam family "Bacterial small subunit ribosomal RNA", at positions 509 to 808 of the family's 1533-position model. The record is from RNAcentral.